This is an RNA transcript of Sorghum bicolor (sorghum), 3908 nucleotides long. It is a transcript of the gene named DNA topoisomerase 3-beta, with no coding region annotated. NCBI's taxonomy places the organism in Eukaryota, Viridiplantae, Streptophyta, Magnoliopsida, Poales, Poaceae. The record is from RefSeq and is a predicted model, not a curated record. The transcript has 18 exons.
UUGUGCAACCAGGUCUCCAGAAAAGCGCACGCGCAGCGCGGCUCGGGCCACGGACAGGGACAGCCCUUGCCUUAAACCCCUCUUCUCUUCGGGUUUCCUCCCAUUCGUUCCCCGGAAGCCGCCGCCCGCCGGUCCCGAUGGCGCCCAAGGUUCUCAUGGUCGCGGAGAAGCCCAGCAUCGCGCUCUCCAUCGCCUCCGCCCUCUCCGGUGGCCGCAUGUCUACAAGGAAGGGAAGCACAGAUGUCCAUGAGUUUGACGGAACAUUUCAGGGUUCUUAUGCAAACUUCAAAGUGACUUCAGUCAUUGGACAUGUCUUAAGUGUAGAUUUCCCCCCUGCAUAUCAGAACUGGGAAGCAACUGAUCCAUUGGACCUAUUUGAGGCUCCAGUUCUGAGAUCUGAAUGCAACCCAAAGGCUCAUAUACGCAGGCAUCUAGCUCAAGAAGCUCGAGGCUGCACUUAUUUGAUACUUUGGCUGGACUGUGACCGAGAAGGAGAAAACAUAUGCUAUGAAGUUAUUGAGUGCACUGGGAUUCCUGACAAUGGCAGAAGAAUUUUCCGUGCUAGAUUUUCAUCUGUUACUGAGAAAGACAUAUUGACCGCCAUGGAUAAUCUUGUUCUGCCAAACAAAGAUGAAGCGCUAUCAGUGGAUGCUCGCCAAGAAAUUGACUUGAAGGUUGGAGUAGCAUUUACUCGAUUUCAGACUCGAUAUUUCCAAGGAAAAUAUGGAAACCUUGAUUCAAGAGUGAUUUCGUAUGGUCCAUGCCAAACACCUACACUUGGAUUCUGUGUACAACGCUAUCAGCAAAUCACCACAUUCAAACCAGAGAAAUUCUGGUCCUUGAAAACGUAUAUUAUCAAAGAUAGUGAUGAAAUACAGCUAGAAUGGGACCGGAAGAAACUUUUUGAUUUUGAUGUCACUGUAAUGUUCCAGAAGAUGGUCAUCAGUGAUGGCUCUCUAAAAGUAGCAGAUGUGUCAGUGAAGGAGGAGUGCAAAACCCGUCCAUCUGGCCUUAAUACAGUUAAUAUGCUUAAGGUUGCAUCAAGUGCGCUUGGUAUUGGACCUCAGACAGCCAUGCACUUGGCGGAGCGGCUGUACACUCAAGGAUUCAUCAGUUAUCCUCGUACAGAGAGCACGGCAUAUCCAUCAUCAUUUGAUUUUCGAGGUGCACUUGCUGCACUAUUAAAUAAUCCUCUAUGGUCCAAUGAUGUCCGGACAUUACUGGAUGCUGGUUUUGUUAAGCCUCGUCAAGGUCAUGAUGCUGGGGACCAUCCUCCAAUCACUCCAAUGAGGUCAGCAACAGAAGCAGCUCUGGGAACUGAUGCUUGGAGGCUGUACCAAUACAUAUGCCAGCACUUCAUUGGAACUGUUAGUCCUGAUUGUAGAUAUACAAGGACUGCCAUUGAGUUCACUUCAGGUGGAGAAACUUUCCACUGUGUUGGGUAUCGAGUCACUUCUAAAGGAUUUACUUCUAUCAUGCCAUGGCUGGCUAUCAGUGAGAAUAGUCUUCCUGCAUUUAAAAAGGGAGACUCUGUUAGUAUUCAUAAGGUUGACAUAUAUGAGGGAAGCACUACACCACCUGAUUACCUCACUGAAAGUGAAUUGAUCUCUCUCAUGGAGAAGAAUGGCAUAGGUACAGAUGCAUCAAUUCCUGUACAUAUAAACAACAUUUGUGAACGUAAUUAUGUUCAGGUGAAUUCUGGAAGAAGGUUAGUACCGACACCCCUGGGAACUACAUUGAUAAGAGGGUAUCAGUGUAUUGAUGCUGAUCUCUGCUUGCCAGAUAUCAGAAGCUUUAUUGAGCAACAGAUUACUCUAAUUGCAAAAGGCAAAGCUGAUCAUCUUCGAGUUAUUCAACAUGUUAUUCAGCAAUUUAUGAAAAAGUAUUCUUACUUUGUGAAAAAGAUUGAAAACAUGGAUGCGCUGUUUGAGGCACAGUUUUCACCUUUGGCAGACUCUGGCCGCUUACUAAGCAAGUGUGGAAAAUGUGGUCGGUAUAUGAAGUACAUUUCCACUCAGCCAAUGAGGUUGUAUUGUAUAACUUGUGAGGAUGUCUAUUAUCUUCCUCAGAAUGGUUCAAUUAAGCUUUACAAAGAAAUCAUAUGCCCUCUUGAUGGUUUUGAGUUGCUUCUGUUCUCGAUGGUGGGACCUGAUGCAAAAUCUUUCCCAUUGUGCCCUUUUUGCUAUAAUUGUCCUCCAUUUGAAGGCAUCGACAAACUCUUUGGUGCUCUCAAGCUUGAUGACACUGGCAAGGUUGGGAAAGGGGCUGGCAUGCCAUGCUUCCUUUGCCCUCACCCAACAUGCAAGCAAUCUAUGAUCACUCAGGGAGUUUGUGCUUGUCCUGAGUGUAGUGGUACCCUGAUUCUUGAUCCAGUUAGUGCACCCAAAUGGCGGCUUUACUGCAACAUGUGUAAUUGCAUUGUAUUACUCCCACAUGCUGCUCACAGGAUCACCACUACAGAUAAAAAAUGCCUAACAUGUGAAUCUACUAUCAUUGAAGUUGAUUUCAACAAGAAAACCACCCCUCUUCAAGAUGGAGCUACAUUGCAUGAGGGCUGUAUCUUGUGUGAUGAUCUGUUGCAUUCACUGAUUGAAAUGAAGCAUGGUAAAUCAUUCUUUAUGCGGAGAGGUAGAGGCAGAGGCAGAGGGAGAGGCCGGGGCAGAGGGAGCAGUCGUGGCAGAGGAAGACUAGGGAACUCAAGGUAUGAUGAUCCUAAAAUGAGCUUCCGGGAUUUUUGAAGAUUUUGGACUUCCAACAAGGGUCACUACUCACUACUUUGUAAGGUAGAUUGUUCAAUCAUUCUAUAAUUGGUGCCAAGUUAUUUCUUUAAACCAAAUGGAAAGAAACGAUGUUGGCCUGAAGUUGUCCAGAAAUGAGAUGGACCUGAAGCAUCUGUUGUUUGACUUUGACAAUGAGAUGUACAGAAAGAUAUUUACCACGUUCAAAAGCCAACUCACAUGUCCAUUCAGAAAUUUAUCGUGCAAAGUUUUUUUAUAUUUAAAAAAGGUAUAACUUUUAUAUUUUGAAAUGAGCAUUUCUCCAUAGCAGCCUUCAGUGGUUAUUUGCAGGAAAGCAACCAUCAUCUGCAGCUUUGUCUUGUGUUCAGUAAACCCCCAGAAUGGAGUAAAUAUAUUAUUAGAAACGUGACUUAAGAGUCAGCUGCUGCCCCAUGUCUUUGUGUAUUGACACAUUCCAUGCGUCAGGACUCAGGACACUGAAUCUGUAGUUUAAAAUGUUGGAUAGCACAACACAAUUGUAUACUCAGGAGUAGUGUUUCUGUAAUACUUGAAAGCUGGAACCUUGUGCCAAUGCUUGGCGGAAGAUCCCAGGUUGGUGAGAAUUGAGAACCUCCAGCUCAAUAUGACAAAGGCACUCACCAGUCCAUAGAUCGGAAUGCAGCUCAACCAACAUCUCUUUGCAACAUUGGUGGUACACCUGAUAGCUCCUUCCGAGCUGUUAUGAUUCUUCUAGAUGGAUUUCAGAAGAAAACGAUGGUUCUGUCUAUUUUAUUGCUUUGCUCUUGCUGCAAACGUAUGGUUUCUUUGUCUCAAGCCCCUGCACCCACCAACUUAGAUGGCAGCUUAAAAGUUCCCUUCAAGUCCAAGGAAACUGGGCAGAUCAGCAGAGUGCAACCCAAACUGACCGUCUGAACACUGACGAAUGAGGGUCGUGUUCAAAGAACCAAUCCCUCUGUUAGCCCGUUGCUUUGUAGAGGGAACAAAGCAUUUGAUUGGAACCCAGACAGGAAACAGGGAACGGGUGGCCCGUGACUCGUGCGUGCCAAAAGUUAUGAGUGUAAGCACAACGACGCAAGGCUUUGGCCAUACUAGCUGUCGUAUUCUGGAUUUUGUCAGAGUCAAAAUAACUUAAAUUUAACUGAGUUUAUGGAAACUGGUGUUAACUUUUAA